AAGAAGUAGAAGAUUAAUGAGAGAAGAGAAAGUACUUCACAUUCGAAACGUGAAUCAAAUGUAGAUCUCUGUGAAAGCAGAUGGUACUUACUUCCUCAUAUGAACUACCAAAGAAAUUGGAAAAACAAAGAUUGUCUUUACAUUCCAAUUUUAAAGAAUUUAAUUCCGUCACUAUAGUAGAGAUGGAUGAAUGUUUUGUUUGACAAAACAUUGUUCUUUAUUAAUCAA
RNAcentral lists this long non-coding RNA (228 nucleotides) under Malus domestica (apple). RNAcentral describes it as "long non-coding RNA (MDOM_LNC019162)". The record is from RNAcentral. Lineage: Eukaryota; Viridiplantae; Streptophyta; Magnoliopsida; Rosales; Rosaceae.